CUUGAAGGAGUUUAGAUGAUCCAGCUUGGGCAGGAAAGAGGCUCAGGAGGUUUCUGUACUGAGCCUGGACCAUGAUCUGAAAGGUCAUAGCAACUUCAGUGAUCCACUUCCAGAUCGGUCCAGGUCCUUCAGAAGCUCGUACCCCCACCUCUCCACCACCAACAUCUUCAGGGACUCCCCGCCCUUCUUCACUAGGGCCACCACGUCCUCCAGAUACUCCUCCUCCACAUUCAUCCCAUUCACCUCCACCACCACAUCACCCUCAAAGAGUCCGACCUUCUCGCCGGGACCUCCUGCUGCCACCUGCAGGACAGUUGUCUCAAAAAGCCCCUUAAACUCGGUGCCAAAAUACAGCUUGAAAAACAAAGUUUUCCUGGAGAUUACAAGUG
Long non-coding RNA from Brienomyrus brachyistius, 389 nucleotides. RefSeq lists it as uncharacterized. The transcript is spliced from 3 exons. NCBI's taxonomy places the organism in Eukaryota, Metazoa, Chordata, Actinopteri, Osteoglossiformes, Mormyridae. The record is from RefSeq and is a predicted model, not a curated record.